Molecule: ribosomal RNA, 398 nt
Filed under: uncultured bacterium
Lineage: Bacteria
Description: partial 16S ribosomal RNA
Rfam family: Bacterial small subunit ribosomal RNA
Source: RNAcentral
AUACGUAGGGUGCGAGCGUUGUCCGGAAUUACUGGGCGUAAAGAGCUCGUAGGUGGUUUGUCGCGUCGUCUGUGAAAUUCCGGGGCUUAACUCCGGGCGUGCAGGCGAUACGGGCAUAACUUGAGUACUGUAGGGGAGACUGGAAUUCCUGGUGUAGCGGUGAAAUGCGCAGAUAUCAGGAGGAACACCGGUGGCGAAGGCGGGUCUCUGGGCAGUAACUGACGCUGAGGAGCGAAAGCAUGGGUAGCGAACAGGAUUAGAUACCCGGGUAGUCCAUGCCGUAAACGGUGGGCGCUAGGUGUAGGGGUCUUCCACGACUUCUGUGCCGUAGCUAACGCAUUAAGCGCCCCGCCUGGGGAGUACGGCCGCAAGGCUAAAACUCAAAGGAAUUGACGGGG